AGGUUGCUCAAUGGUUAGAGUGUGAAACCUCAAGUUUCAAGGCCCUAGGUUCAAAUCUGGCCU
This 63-nucleotide transfer RNA is filed under the name Monodelphis domestica (gray short-tailed opossum). The record is from Rfam by way of RNAcentral. Lineage: Eukaryota; Metazoa; Chordata; Mammalia; Didelphimorphia; Didelphidae.